GAUGAACGCUGACAGAAUGCUUAACACAUGCAAGUCAACUUGAAUUUGGGUUUUUAACUUAGGUUUGGGUGGCGGACGGGUGAGUAACGCGUAAAGAACUUGCCUCACAGCUAGGGACAACAUUUGGAAACGAAUGCUAAUACCUAAUAUUAUGAUAAUAGGGCAUCCUAUAAUUAUGAAAGCUAUAAGCGCUGUGAGAGAGCUUUGCGUCCCAUUAGCUAGUUGGAGAGGUAACGGCUCACCAAGGCGAAGAUGGGUAGCCGGCCUGAGAGGGUGAUCGGCCACAAGGGGACUGAGACACGGCCCUUACUCCUACGGGAGGCAGCAGUGGGGAAUAUUGGACAAUGGACCGAGAGUCUGAUCCAGCAAUUCUGUGUGCACGAUGAAGUUUUUCGGAAUGUAAAGUGCUUUCAGUUGGGAAGAAACAAAUGACGGUACCAACAGAAGAAGUGACGGCUAAAUACGUG
This 467-nucleotide ribosomal RNA is filed under the name uncultured bacterium. Its description in RNAcentral is "partial 16S ribosomal RNA". It matches the Rfam family "Bacterial small subunit ribosomal RNA", at positions 28 to 507 of the family's 1533-position model. The record is from RNAcentral.